CAACCCUCCGGAAGGGUCGUCCUCACGGGCGGCCCCGCUCCGGGCGUUGGGGAUCUGCGAACGUAGCAGGCCCCGAAAAUCAGCGGCGGACCCGCGCGGCCCCUCCCUUGCGUAGUAGCAUCAGCCUCGCAUCGGUGACCCGUGGGACUCCAGCCCCUAAACCCCCCAACAAGCCCGGCCUGGCCGGCACAA
This 192-nucleotide unclassified non-coding RNA is filed under the name uncultured Plectosphaerellaceae. RNAcentral describes it as "sequence contains ITS2". Lineage: Eukaryota; Fungi; Ascomycota; Sordariomycetes; Glomerellales; Plectosphaerellaceae. The record is from RNAcentral.